Mycena galericulata is the source of this 90-nucleotide non-coding RNA. NCBI's taxonomy places the organism in Eukaryota, Fungi, Basidiomycota, Agaricomycetes, Agaricales, Mycenaceae. The record is from the annotation of a GenBank genome assembly.
CGCCUGAUGGUGUAUUGUCAACACGUCCUCUUACCAUAGAUAGUGGCGCUCGACUCGAGGAAAUGCCCCGUUCGACUCGGGGUCGGGCCU